UACGUAGGGUGCAAGCGUUGUCCGGAAUUAUUGGGCGUAAAGAGCUCGUAGGCGGUUUGUCGCGUCUGCUGUGAAAACCCGAGGCUCAACCUCGGGCCUGCAGUGGGUACGGGCAGACUAGAGUGCGGUAGGGGGAGAUUGGAAUUCCUGGUGUAGCGGUGGAAUGCGCAGAUAUCAGGAGGAACACCGAUGGCGAAGGCAGGUCUCUGGGGCCAUAACUGACGCUGAGAAGCGAAAGCAUGGGGGAGCGAACAGG
Molecule: ribosomal RNA, 256 nt
Filed under: uncultured bacterium
Lineage: Bacteria
Description: partial 16S ribosomal RNA
Rfam family: Bacterial small subunit ribosomal RNA
Source: RNAcentral